RNAcentral lists this long non-coding RNA (225 nucleotides) under Panax ginseng (ginseng). RNAcentral's name for it is "long non-coding RNA (PGIN_LNC001540)". Lineage: Eukaryota; Viridiplantae; Streptophyta; Magnoliopsida; Apiales; Araliaceae. The record is from RNAcentral.
UUUCGCGCAAAGAAAAGGUUUCGGGGAGACCUUCGCUUCACAGUGGAAGUUAUGGAAUUGUUGUUUCCUUACUAUAGAAUACUUAUAUGAAUUCAGCAAAAUAGAACCAAGGACUUGUUUCCAGCUCCGAGCAGGGUUCCUUAUUUCUGUACUAGUUGAUGAGAGUUACUUCGGAAACAAAAAGAGUAAAGUCUGGGGUAUUUUCUUAAUUCCAAUAAAACGAAA